AAAGACUCUCGUCGUCUCACAAGGUUCUCCUUGACUCUUUAUUCAAACAUCUCUUAGCUUCAUUCUUCUUCCUCCACGACUUCCUUUGCCUUUCUUCUUCUAUAAUAUGACUUCUUGAACCUAUCAAUACUUCCCCAACGAAAUCCAGCUUGCCCUCAAGCUGGUAAGACGGAAAACGAGCUUUAAAUUCUUCAUACAACAACCAAGAAUUCUCAAGAGCUGACUUCCCUUGCCACUGGACCAACAACUCCAAAUCUCCUGUCGAAUUAUAACGUUUCUCCAAUACGUCCUCUGGUUCAAACACUUCAUCAUCGAUGGUAACACAUCCUGGUGGCAACAAACUACACUACUCUUGCGGACCAAGUGCCAGUUUAAGUUUAGAAAUAUGAAAAACCGCGUGAAUACGAGCCUCUGGAGGAAGUAAAAGCUUA
This 431-nucleotide long non-coding RNA is filed under the name Brassica napus (rape). Its description in RNAcentral is "long non-coding RNA (BNAP_LNC025086)". Lineage: Eukaryota; Viridiplantae; Streptophyta; Magnoliopsida; Brassicales; Brassicaceae. The record is from RNAcentral.